CAAGCAGUAUUAGGUGUUCCUGCCAACAUCUUCAGCUAAGAAUUCAACUCCUCACUAAUAUUGAUUGUGAUACCUGAGAAUGAGUAAACCUCUAGGACAGAGUCAGCAAACAUUUUCUUUAAGAGCCAAGUAGCAGAUAUUUAGACUAUUCUUAGUUCAUGGGCUGUAUAAAAAUAGACAGAAUUUGGCCUGUGAGGCUGUAGUUUACCCUGCUUUAAAUGGUUCCUAUACCCAACCUUUAAGGCAUCCCAGCUAAAGAUCAGCUGGUGUGUUCAUCUCAUUCUGAGAAUCAGGCUGAAGGAACAACCUCUAUCUGGAACAUGCUUUACAUAUCAGAAGGAGAAGAAAGAAAGCAGGGAAAGAAAACAGGCAUCAUGAUGGCAACUAAAGGGUGAUGAGCUUGUUUCCCACUUCACUGGAAAACAAAAUGGGAAUAUUCAGAAGAUAAGUUCCACAGCUCCCAUAGCAUCUUCCUAUCUACCAGGAUUUGGACCUUCUACACCCUGCUCCCAUUAAGGAAUUAGCCUUGCUCUUGUCCAAAACUAGCCUUUGCGUAUGCCUUAGAUCCUAUCCCCCUUGCUUGCUCACAGGCUUUGCUCCAGCAAUUCUCCCUAUUUUUCCCCUAUACCAUCAGCUUCCUCUCUCUACUAGGUCAUUUCCACCAGCACACAACAAUACUGUCUCUCUCAUCUUAGAAAUGGAAACUAACAAAAUUGAGUUCACUUUUCCUUCUGACACUAUCCCUUUUCUACCUCCCCCACUUUACAGCAAAACUCUUUGAAAGCUGCCUGAAUUUCACUGCUUCCAUUUCCUCUCCUCUUCUCACUUAAACCUACUGCUGCCAGAACCGGGACUCCACCACCUCACCAGACCCCUGCUUGUCAAUAUCAUCAAUGACUUCCAUCUUGCUAAAUCCAUUUCUUGUCCCCAUUGAACUUGACCCUCAGUAACACCUUGUCAAAUUAACCACUCCCUUCUCAUGGAAAUGAUUUCUUGUUUUCUAAGACACUACACAUUUCGUUUUCCUUCAACACCCCUGGAUGCUGCUUCCCAGUCUUGUCCCUUAACCUCCUAGCACUGAAGUGAUGCAGGGCUCAGUCCACAGAUCUCUUCAUCUUUCCUGUUCACUCCAUACUCACCCUCUUGGUAAUUCCCUUCCAGUUUCAUCGUUUAAAUGGCAUCUGUCUGCAAAUGAUUAUCAAAUGUAUGCCUCCAGCCAUGGCCACUGCUCUCAACGUUAGCUUAUCCAUCUAACUGUCAACUCUGUAUCUCUACCUGGACGCCUGAUGGAGGUCUCCAAUGUACCAUGCCCUAAACUGAAAUUUUGAUCUUCUUUAUCCACAGAAUCUGCUCGACCCUAUCUCAGUUAAAGGCAUAUGUUACUAAAGCCAAAGUCAGCAAAGAAGGAGCCUCCAUGCUUGGAAACAACCCAGCUAACUGCCAUCUGUGUGGUAGCUUGAGUGUGGAUUGAAGAACGGAGAGUCAGGAUUCUAGGGGAGAGUGGAACCAAUGGCUGGGCUGGAACCUGCAUGCCAGCACCUCCCCCACAUGCUGUUGGUCAAGCCAGAUUCAAGAGAUGGGGAAACAGACUCCGCCUCUGGAUGCCGCAAAGUCCCACGGCAAAGGGCAGGAAUAUAGAGCAUCAGGCUGCAAAUUUGAACACGAGCUUCCACAUGGUCAUCACAAAGAGGGAAAUACAGACAGCUUCGUGGCUCAUAAUUUCAAAAGAUAAAAAGAAAGAUGUCAUUUAGAAGCACACCUGUUCCUAGUACUCAGUCCUUGGAGGAUUCUCUUGCUGACUGAAAAACCUUAUCUAGGAAAAUAAAUGAACCUUUAGCUCUGGAAGGAGAUAGAAUGGAGAAUGCCCUAUAAGGAGACAAAGAAGAAAUAGCCUGAGUUUUUAAAAGAUGGAUUGAGAUCCCUUUCUCUCCUCCUGGUUGCUGAGGAAGACAUACAUAUCCCACUGCAAUAAAUCGGGGGAUGAUCAUUCAUACCAUGACAAAAUGGCAGAAAAUGUGCAACUCCAAGACCAAGAAAACGUGAAGAGGCUGUGACUACCUCCAUGUGAGAAACAUCUGAGUUCCUCCUGAUCCUAAGACCUCCCCACAAUGUAUGUAUGAUAGCAAUUUCCUCUGACAGAGCAGUGAAUUUGAUGAUAGUGCAUCGAUUGCUGUAAAUUGUCUGCUGGGUUACCUGUUCCUACCACCUUAGAGCACUCACAGCUCAGUGACUGUGGAAGUCAGCUUCCAAGAUGUUCCCCUAUGAUCCUCCCCUCCUUGUAUUCACAUCUGUAAAGAUUCCUCCCACAAUGAAUCACAGUUUCGUUUUGUGACCAACAGAAUACAGCAGAAGUAAGGAAAUGUGACUUCCAAGGCUAAUGAAUAAAAGGCUUUGCAGUUUUCUCCUUGGUCAGUUGGAAGCCACCUGCCAUGGACACUCAAGCAGUUCUGUGGAGAGGCUCAUGAGGGAAAGAACUGAGGCCCCUCCACCAACAUCCAGCACCAACUUGUCAGCUGUGUCUGUGAGCCAUCUAGGAAUGAGACCCUCCUGAAGCCCUGGUGAAGCCUUCAGAUGACCGUAGCCCCAGCCAACAUUUGGCUGCAGUCUCAUGGCAGGCUCCAAGCCAAACCCUACCAGUGAAUUUGCUACCAAAUUCCUGACUCAUGGAAACUGUGUGUGUAAUAAAUGUUUAUUGUAUGAUAAAGCCACUAAAUUUAGGAGUAAUUUCUUACACAGCAAUAGAUAACUAGUAGAGUCACUUUGCAUCUCUUAGGGUCUAUGGCAAAUGACACAUAAUGAAUAGAGAAAUUGGAACAGACAACUGGUUGUCUGUUUCAGUACAGAAACUGGUUGGUAUUAAGAGUGACAAUUUUUAUUAUAGUUCAAGCUAUAGUACUGUAUGUUCUUGAAUAAACUAUGCUAAUCUAGGCCAUCCAAAGACUUCCCAAAAUGUAUGGUGAGAAUAACAUUUCCAAGAUACUAAACCAAUGUUUGUAGCUCCUGAUAAUUCCUAAUUCCUGGUUGCCCCAAGCCACCACCUGCCCCAACUAAAACAAAAGAAUUGAUCACAUCAUAAUAAAAUUAGAACCUUCAAAGAACAGGCACUGAUCUCUUGGAAUUUUUAUUUUAAACUUAAGUUUACAUGACAAUCUGCUUCCACUUACAUGAUAAUCUGAAAGCAUAUGUUGAAAUGGCAUGGUUCUUGGUUGCAGAAAACAGAAAUGAAAUCUACCUAAGCAGAAAUUAAAAUUAUAGGAGGGAUAUUGGGAGCUCAUAACAUCCAGAGGCUGACUAAACAAACAGACUUCAACGUCAAAAGCAGCCCCCACCCUGGAGGCUAGGGAUCUAUGAGAGCAAAUUGAACAUCUGAUCUCUCAGCUCUCACCAAACUCACACCAUGGCAGAACCUUCACGAAGGGAGGAAGAGACUCAGAUGCUGAACACAAGGAGAG
Molecule: long non-coding RNA, 3452 nt
Filed under: Homo sapiens (human)
Lineage: Eukaryota; Metazoa; Chordata; Mammalia; Primates; Hominidae
Description: HSALNT0120060
Source: RNAcentral